Molecule: ribosomal RNA, 460 nt
Filed under: uncultured bacterium
Lineage: Bacteria
Description: partial 16S ribosomal RNA
Rfam family: Bacterial small subunit ribosomal RNA
Source: RNAcentral
CCUACGGGUGGCUGCAGUGAGGAAUAUUGGUCAAUGGGCGGGAGCCUGAACCAGCCAAGUCGCGUGAGGGAAGACGGUCCUAUGGAUUGUAAACCUCUUUAGGCGGGGAGCAAUGCCGGGCACGCGUGCCCGGUGGGAGAGUACCUGCAGAUUAAGCAUGGGUUAACGCCGUGCCAGCAGCCGCGGUAAUCCGGGGGAUGCGAGCGUUAUCCGGAUUUAUUGGGUUUAAAGGGGGCGUAGGCGGAUUUUUAAGUCAGCGGUAAAAUGUGCGGGCUCAACCCGGGCCGGCCGUUGAAACUGGGGAUCUUGAGUGGGCGAGAGGUAUGCGGAAUGCGUGGUGUAGCGGUGAAAUGCAUAGAUAUCACGCAGAACUCCGAUUGCGAAGGCAGCAUACCGGCGCCCGACUGACGCUGAGGCACGAAAGCGUGGGGAUCGAACAGGAUUAGAUACCCCGGUAGUC